AGGACUUUGCAGAUUCUGUGUACAGGAGAUAAGUACCAGAGGGACUUAUUACACAGCACGAAUUACUUCUCUUGAGUUGACUAAAGCUGGCAGAUCAUAUGGUACAAUAAGAUGAGGAGUUGAAGCUUCCAAGACAUUACCUUGUUUCUCUCACAAAAAUUGACAGAGUAUCUGACUGUAGAGUUCUGGAGGGAAGCUGAUAUUCUGUCAAAGCUUCAUCACCCAAAUGUGGUGGCAUUUUAUGGUACUAUAUAUUCCCUCUGCUUGAUGUAAUUCUUUAACUUGGAAGGGAACCUAUUCACACAGAAGUUAAUGUGCUUAAGGCAUGAAAAGAGUUGUUCUAACUGCUUUUUCUGAACUGAUGAGCAAAAUCAAGUGAUGCAACAGCAGAAAUAAGAUAUGCAUGAGGAAAAUCGGAGGAUCCGUGAUAUCGUCCAGAAAAUAGAAGCAACACUUGCCCACUUUAGUGCAAAUCUUGGUAGUCUUUAUCAAGAUCCAAACAAAAAUAGCUCCAAUGACGAUACACUACCCCCCUCCACCUCCGAUGAUGAUACACUAUCCCCCUCUAGUCAAGAUUAGAUAGCAUAUUAUUUGAAUGAUUUGAAAAUCUGUUUUGGAUGGUGAAACUUAGCUGCAAACAAUAGAUGUAUUUUUUAUAGUGAAGCAAUUGCUACACUUUGGAUUUAAAUGAUUAAAUAAUGUUUGAUUCCCUUGAAUUGUUAAUAUUGUGGUGUUGAAUU
Ipomoea triloba (trilobed morning glory) is the source of this 740-nucleotide long non-coding RNA. RefSeq lists it as uncharacterized. The record is from RefSeq and is a predicted model, not a curated record. Lineage: Eukaryota; Viridiplantae; Streptophyta; Magnoliopsida; Solanales; Convolvulaceae. The transcript is spliced from 5 exons.